This 442-nucleotide ribosomal RNA is filed under the name uncultured bacterium. RNAcentral describes it as "partial 16S ribosomal RNA". It matches the Rfam family "Bacterial small subunit ribosomal RNA", at positions 338 to 795 of the family's 1533-position model. The record is from RNAcentral.
CCUACGGGAGGCUGCAGUGGGGAAUAUUGGGCAAUGGAGGCAACUCUGACCCAGCAACGCCGCGUGAGCGAUGAAGGUCUUCGGAUUGUAAAGCUCUUUAAGCGGGGACGAAGAAAGUGACUGUACCCGCAGAAUAAGCAUCGGCUAACUCCGUGCCAGCAGCCGCGGUAAUACGGAGGAUGCGAGCGUUAUCCGGAUUUAUUGGGUUUACAGGGUGCGCAGGCGGAAGAUCAAGUCAGCGGUAAAAUUGAGUGGCUAAAACUCUUCGAGCCGUUGAAACUGGUUUUCUUGAGUGAGCGAGCAGUAUGCGGAAUGCGUGGUGUAGCGGUGAAAUGCAUAGAGAUCACGCAGAACUCCGAUUGCGAAGGCAGCAUACCGGCGCUCAACUGACGCUCAUGCACGAAAGUGUGGGUAUCGAACAGGAUUAGAUACCCUAGUAGUC